AAAAAACACUAGCUAAUUAUAUCUGGAUAAAAUUAGCCUUAGAUUUUCUAUCCUAUCCACUUCCUAAUUUAAACACACUGCUAAGUUUUUCAGCGUCAGAACCACUGAAUAUUAGAAGUCUCUACAAAAUACCCACCAUUUGAACCCAGUUGAUCUUCCAAGUUCACAAUGAGGAAUGUUGUAGCCAAGGCAACUAAGAAAGCUUACUGUACAGUGAUCAACUGUACAAAAAGAGGUGUCCCCAAAUUCAAGGAUUAUAAUCCAAGAACAGCAGGACCUUCAAUAAACUCUAGCCAGCUAGGCAAGUCCCAAACCAUGACUCUAAUUGAGUUGGAUGCGAAAUUUGGCUGGAAAAGGAGGAAGCCUGCAAACACCUAAGCAUGUCAAUUAUUGCUUCACAGGCCACAUUUAAGGAUCAUCUAACUCUAUGAGCUGUGCCCUCCUCUCAGCAGCCUUUUUCCUAAUAAAGAUGCCCCAUCUAAGGGCUGCCUUGAGCUUCAGCCAUCCAAUGACAGCUUUGCCAGAUGAACGAGAGUGAUCGUCGGCGAAGCUGUAGUUUGGAGAUGGGGCUGGCAUGUAUGCUGAUGAGUAAGGGUACCCAUCUUCAUUUACAUUGAAGG
This 620-nucleotide unclassified non-coding RNA is filed under the name Hevea brasiliensis (rubber tree). The record is from RNAcentral. Lineage: Eukaryota; Viridiplantae; Streptophyta; Magnoliopsida; Malpighiales; Euphorbiaceae.